UGAGGAAUAUUGGUCAAUGGCCGGAAGGCUGAACCAGCCAAGUCGCGUGAGGGAAUAAGGCCCUACGGGUCGUAAACCUCUUUUGCCAGGGAGCAAUGCCGUCCACGUGUGGACGGAAGGAGAGUACCUGGAGAAAAAGCAUCGGCUAACUCCGUGCCAGCAGCCGCGGUAAUACGGAGGAUGCGAGCGUUAUCCGGAUUUAUUGGGUUUAAAGGGUGCGUAGGCGGCCUGCCAAGUCAGCGGUAAAAUUGCGGGGCUCAACCCCGUACAGCCGUUGAAACUGCCGGGCUCGAGUGGGCGAGA
RNAcentral lists this ribosomal RNA (303 nucleotides) under uncultured bacterium. RNAcentral's name for it is "bacterial SSU rRNA". It matches the Rfam family "Bacterial small subunit ribosomal RNA", at positions 355 to 655 of the family's 1533-position model. The record is from RNAcentral.